RNAcentral lists this ribosomal RNA (498 nucleotides) under uncultured bacterium. Its description in RNAcentral is "partial 16S ribosomal RNA". It matches the Rfam family "Bacterial small subunit ribosomal RNA", at positions 30 to 523 of the family's 1533-position model. The record is from RNAcentral.
AUUGAACGCUGGCGGCAUGCCUUACACAUGCAAGUCGAACGGUAACAGGUCUUCGGAUGCUGACGAGUGGCGAACGGGUGAGUAAUACAUCGGAACGUGCCCAGUAGUGGGGGAUAACUACUCGAAAGAGUGGCUAAUACCGCAUGAGAUCUACGGAUGAAAGCAGGGGAUCGCAAGACCUUGUGCUACUAGAGCGGCCGAUGGCAGAUUAGGUAGUUGGGUGGAUAAAAGCUUACCAAGCCGACGAUCUGUAGCUGGUCUGAGAGGACGAUCAGCCACACUGGGACUUGGACACGGCCCAGACUCCUACGGGAGGCAGCAGUGGGGAAUUUUGGACAAUGGGCGCAAGCCUGAUCCAGCAAUGCCGCGUGCAGGAUGAAGGCCUUCGGGUUGUAAACUGCUUUUGUACGGAACGAAAAGCCCCGGGUUAAUACCCUGGGGUCAUGACGGUACCGUAAGAAUAAGCACCGGCUAACUACGUGCCAGCCGCCGCGGUAA